AAUGUUUGAUGUUGCAGAGAGUUAGGCUGGAUUGAAGUGGGAGGGGGAGGCCUCACUUGGCCCCCUGAUCAUUCUGGAUACUGAGCUGAACAACCUGGCAACUCAGCCCCUGACUGAGGGUGAUGGAAGGAUGCAGGAGAGGUCUCCAAGCGGUGUGGAGUCUGAGCUGGGUGUGAUAGUAGUCCUGACUGUGACAGCUGUCUGUCUGAUCUCUGCUUCAUUGCUGGCCUUGUUCCUGUACAGGAGAUGCAAGCAAACACCCUUCAACUGGUGACUGGAAUAGUCAAUAAAGCAGUGAUUCAUGUCCU
Molecule: non-coding RNA, 308 nt
Organism: Chiloscyllium plagiosum (whitespotted bambooshark)
Lineage: Eukaryota; Metazoa; Chordata; Chondrichthyes; Orectolobiformes; Hemiscylliidae
Source: RefSeq, a predicted model, not a curated record